Molecule: ribosomal RNA, 512 nt
Filed under: uncultured bacterium
Lineage: Bacteria
Description: partial 16S ribosomal RNA
Rfam family: Bacterial small subunit ribosomal RNA
Source: RNAcentral
GACGAACGCUGGCGGCGUGCCUAAUACAUGCAAGUCGAGCGAAUCAUUAGGAGCUUGCUCCUGAUGGUUAGCGGCGGACGGGUGAGUAACACGUGGGCAACCUGCCUAUAAGACUGGGAUAACUCCGGGAAACCGGAGCUAAUACCGGAUAAUCCUUUUCCACACAUGUGGGAAAGCUGAAAGACGGUUUCGGCUGUCACUGAUAGAUGGGCCCGCGGCGCAUUAGCUAGUUGGUGGGGUAAUGGUUUACCAAGGCGACGAUGCGUAGCCGACCUAGGAGGGUGACCGGCGACACUGGGACUGGGACACGGCCCAGACUCCUACGGGAGGCAGCAGUAGGGAAUCUUCCGCAAUGGACGAAAGUCUGACGGGGCAACGCCGCGUGAACGAUGAAGGCCUUCGGGUCGUAAAGUUCUGUUGUUAGGGAAGAACAAGUAUCGGAGUAACUGCCGGUACCUUGACGGUACCUAACCAGAAAGCCACGGCUAACUACGUGCCAGCCGCCGCGGUAA